UGCCAGCAGCCGCGGUAAUACGUAGGAUCCGAGCGUUGUCCGGAGUUACUGGGUGUAAAGGGUGCGUAGGCUGUUCUGUGCGUCAGAGGUGAAAUCCACGGGCUUAACUCGUGGGGUGCCUUUGAUACGGCAGGGCUUGAGUACGAGAGAGGUGCGUGGAAUUCCUGGUGUAGCAGUGAAAUGCGUAGAUAUCAGGAGGAACACCGGUGGCGAAGGCGGCGCACUGGCUCGUAACUGACGCUGAGGCACGAAAGCGUGGGGAUCAAACAGGAUUAGAUACCCUGGUAGUCCACGCCUUAAACGAUGCAUGCUUGGUGUUGGUCUCGCAAGAGAUCAGUGCCGUAGUUAACAUGAUAAGCAUGCCACCUGGGGAGUACGAUCGCAAGGUUGAAACUCAAAUGAAUUGGCGG
Molecule: ribosomal RNA, 410 nt
Filed under: uncultured bacterium
Lineage: Bacteria
Description: bacterial SSU rRNA
Rfam family: Bacterial small subunit ribosomal RNA
Source: RNAcentral